AUACGGAGGAUCCAAGCGUUAUCCGGAUUUAUUGGGUUUAAAGGGUGCGCAGGCGGCCUUAUAAGUCAGUGGUGAAAUCUCCCGGCUCAACCGGGAAACUGCCAUUGAUACUGUAAGGCUAGAAUACAGACGAGGUAGGCGGAAUGUAGCAUGUAGCGGUGAAAUGCUUAGAUAUGCUACAGAACACCAAUCGCGAAGGCAGCUUACCAGACUGUAAUUGACGCUAAGGCACGAAAGCGUGGGGAGCGAACAGGAUUAGAUACCCUAGUAGUCC
This 274-nucleotide ribosomal RNA is filed under the name uncultured bacterium. RNAcentral's name for it is "partial 16S ribosomal RNA". It matches the Rfam family "Bacterial small subunit ribosomal RNA", at positions 523 to 796 of the family's 1533-position model. The record is from RNAcentral.